RNAcentral lists this ribosomal RNA (497 nucleotides) under uncultured bacterium. RNAcentral describes it as "partial 16S ribosomal RNA". It matches the Rfam family "Bacterial small subunit ribosomal RNA", at positions 28 to 507 of the family's 1533-position model. The record is from RNAcentral.
GACGAACGCUGGCGGCGUGCCUAAUACAUGCAAGUUGAGCGCUGAAGGUUGGUACUUGUACCAACUGGAUGAGCAGCGAACGGGUGAGUAACGCGUGGGGAAUCUGCCUUUGAGCGGGGGACAACAUUUGGAAACGAAUGCUAAUACCGCAUAAAAACUUUAAACACAAGUUUUAAGUUUGAAAGAUGCAAUUGCAUCACUCAAAGAUGAUCCCGCGUUGUAUUAGCUAGUUGGUGAGGUAAAGGCUCACCAAGGCGAUGAUACAUAGCCGACCUGAAAGGGUGAUCGGCCCCAUUGGGACUGAGACACGGCCCAAACUCCUACGGGAGGCAGCAGUAGGGAAUCUUCGGCAAUGGACGAAAGUCUGACCGAGCAACGCCGCGUGAGUGAAGAAGGUUUUCGGAUCGUAAAACUCUGUUGGUAGAGAAGAACGUUGGUGAGAGUGGAAAGCUCAUCAAGUGACGGUAACUACCCAGAAAGGGACGGCUAACUACGUG